This 1662-nucleotide long non-coding RNA is filed under the name Sus scrofa (pig). RNAcentral describes it as "lncRNA (ENSSSCG00000063537.1, ENSSSCG00090035041.1, ENSSSCG00105007143.1, ENSSSCG00110006172.1)". Lineage: Eukaryota; Metazoa; Chordata; Mammalia; Artiodactyla; Suidae. The record is from RNAcentral.
CUAACUGUGAUGGGGUUACUGCACUUAAGGCAUCAAGUAGAGGGGAACUGGAAUAACAGUGUAUCUGAUAGGAGGGGGCAGUGUGGAAGGCUUGGACUUUGGACAAAGAGCUGAUGAUUGAAAUCUUCCUAUAUUUGACUUCCUCUGCAAUUAAUGCACAAUUUGAAUUGUUAAGUACCCACAAGUAGCAUUUACUAUUUGAAAAAAUAGCGGUAUAACUACAGGGUACUGGAGUUUGAUUCUCUUCUCCCACAGGAUCUCAGGGACCUUUGGGACCUCCUGAUGUCCUUCCAGCCCUAUUCAGCUGCCCACAUCGUACAUAGCCUCGCAGGUCCAAACCUGGUCCAGGACCAAUCCUGUAUCUUCACAGGAAGCCUUUUCUUACCCAUCCUUAUCUGUACAGAACUAGUCUUGCCUUUGUGCCUGGUAGACAUGGGCAUUGGAGAAUUAGAUGGGUAGGGUUUGAAGCCUAACUAGCUGCUGUACUGGCUGAAUGACUUUGAACAAAGGGCUUAGCUCUUCAUCUGAGGAUACGCAUCUUUACCUAUAAAAUGCAGGUGACCUGUAUCUACUUUUCAAUGUCGUUAUAAUUGGAGAGACAAAAGGCUUAGCACAGCCUUAACCUCAGCACAUAGCUUAUGUUCAUGUUUAAUAUUUAUGAUGAUAAUUGACAGGCAUCAGGUUUAACAGCUGUACUCAACCUACACCAAGGAUGGUUACCUGCUGUGAAGAAUUCCCUGGCCAGAAACUGUUGGAAGUGAGAUGAGGUUUGCCAACAUCACUUUCUCCAGUCUCUCUCUCAUUAUCCAUUGCAGUCCUUUCCACAGCCUGGUCUUUUCUGAUGUUCUCUAAAAUUUUUCAGUAAAUAAUAUAAACCCGAUCCUGGCUUUAUCUCAGAUCUAGCUAACUCAGAUACGAGUUCCAGUGAGUUCUCCAUCAUUGACUGUCACAGUUGCCUGUCUCCCACCUCCUCCACUUCUACUUCCAGGUCACCUGCAAAUAGGUGGGCAGGGUUUCCAGUAAUGGCAUCAGCUUGCCAGGUUCUUACUCUGGGUGCCUGGUAGUAACUAAUUCUUUUUUUUUCUUUUGUGUGAAAUAGUGUUCCAUUGAAGCUAUUCAUUUAUAAUACAGGAGAGGCAAGUAUGAGGAGCCAGUUCCUUUCUCUGGGACUUUCUCGGACUCAGCUUUCCAGCCAUGCCAGGCAUUUUUUUUUCUCUGAAGUGGAGUGUGAUUCUCGUGCUGGCACCUCAUUCAUGAGUCAUUGGUUCAGGGCAUGUAAAAGCCCUUGCUGGGGAUCCAGUCUAGACCUUUUGGUGUGGUAGGUGCCCAGGCUUCAGACAGGAUUAGAAUGCUUCAUGCACUCCUGGAGGUCACACCCUUGUAGAGACAGACCUAGAAACAGUGAGAGGGGUUCUGGGAUGGGGUCUGCAUGGGUGCUAUGAGAGGAGUUCCCAUUGUGGCUCAGUGGAAGUGAAUCUGACUAAUAUUCAUGAGGAUGCAGGUUCAAUCCCUGGCCUCUCUCAGUGGGUUAAGGGAUCUGGCAUUGUCAUGAGCCAUGAUGUAGGUUGCAUAUGUGGGUCAGAUCUAGUGUUGCUGUGAUUGUGGCGUAGGCCAGCGGCUACAACUCUGAUUCGACCCCUAGUCUGGAAAACUCCAUAUGCU